AAUAUAUAUAUAUAUAUUUAAAUUUUCCUCUUAUCUUUUAUCACAAAUUUUCCUAACCUAACCUAACAAAAGCAAUGCUUCCAAUUCCAGAUCUACAUCCAUCAAACUAUCACAACGUUAUGAUAGACAUUUCACUGCAUAUGCGCGUUUGCAUUCCAAUGAAACGAUAGUAAAAAAAUUUUAUGAUAUUUACAACACUACUCAGUUUAAGCUUGAAUGGGAAGAAAUAGCGUAGAACUGCAAACUUCCGCUGCUUUCAAUUCGGCUCGAAUCACGCGAAUCAGUGAUUCGUGGGCCCAUUUCUGUGGCAAACUCGUGAAAUUUGCUCCAGAUUCGUGUCACGUACCGUAGAAAUUGUUUCAUAACCACGUUUGAAAUAAUUGAUUUUAAAAAGCGAAACGAUGGUAAUACAGACAGAACUAUUGCACUCUAUCUCAUUUUUGUUUUAUUUAAUGCAAAUUUCAAUUGAUUGAAUUGAAACAUCAAAAAGAAAAUUAAGAAAUAUAUAAAUCUAUUUAAAUGAUUCAUUUCCAAAGGGAGUGUUGAAUAUCUUAUCCUAAUUCUAAGUAGAAAAUAUUGAAAAAUUGUUUUUUAUUUUUGAAAAUUGUAAUUCUUAUUAAAUCAUAAGAAGAACGACAAAAAAUUUUGAUUAAGUGAUAUAUGUAGGAUUUUAAAUUCAAUUAUAUGAAAAGGAAUGAAGAGAAGAAUUAUGAUUUGAAUCAACUUUAUUUUUGGACAGUCGUUCGUGCAUCGAUCGAAUCCUCUUUAAAACAUGGCAUCCCGAAAGGGUUGAUUUUUAUGGGGGAUGAAAAGGAAGAAGAGAGGUCCUUCACUCUACAGACCGAUGAUAUUAUUUUCACUGCCACUCCCCGUUGCAUGGCUCGUAUGGAUCAAUAACCGAGAAGACCACUGUGAUUCGAAACUCUUUAAUUAAUUACUGAUUACAGAGAAAGAUAAGAGAAAUUAAUUAAAGAAGGAAUAAUAAAUUAAAGAACCGUUUAAUUAGAAUGAAGGAACUGUUGCAAGAGACUUUAUUUUCUGAGGCAAACAAGACAAUACACUUUCUCGAAACCAACGAUCCCUCGUUCCAACCAUUCUCGUGGCCGUGUAUGAAACUUUAAAGAUAUAUAAAUUAUUUCAACCGGUGUACUUGUGGAAACGAUCACCUUUCAGUCGCCAGUAACCAUUGCAUUUUCGUUGGAAAAAUAAAAAAGGUAAUGAUAAUACUCGUAUCUUAUCAGAAACGUGUUUGCAAUUCGUUAUACAUCAUAUUCCGUUUCAAAUUAGAAAAUUAAAAUUGUUAACAAUUCGUAGGAUCAAUUGCAAUUUACAGAUUUUGCUUUUCGAAUAAAUUACAAAUAUUUUCGAAAUAAUAAAAUUUUACUUCGUACGUAACGUUUGAAUAGAGGAAUUUAGCAUGGGUUGAAAGUGAUGUAUUAUAUUCCAAUCAUCAAAUGCCAUUAAUUCAAAAGAAUUAGAAAAUUAUCAUUUUCAAUAAUGGAUGGAUUGGUCCAUCAAAAUUUUUGUACGAAAGGAUUGAGAACCACGGGUAUAGAGUACAAAUUAGUUACUACACGUAUUUUAAAUGAAGCAUUAGUGUUGCCAAAUAAAGCACAGUGUUCUAACUUGGGUGCUCGUUUGAGCACAGAUAGAAGAAAUUGGAUCUAAAAUUAGAUUUCAAAUACAAUGCCAUAAAUUAUUUCUCUGACCAUUCUCUGACUAUUUAUCUAAACACAUUUUAAACUUUAAUUCUUAAUAGUUCUUAGACCAUUAUCUUUUUUUGAUUUUCAAGUUAAUUUAUCUAUCUUUUAUAAUUUGACAUUGACUAUUACAAAUUAAAUUUCAAAUAUUCUAAUUCUGUGCAUAUAUAACAACUGAUCUUAUUUUCAAUUUGUAUGAGAAUAAAAAAUAUUUAUUUAUAUUUUAGUUCAAUAGUUAAAUAAAGAAAGAUAUUACGUUUUUAUUUUUAAAUUAUAAAUUGAGGAAUUAAGAAAAAUUGAGAAAUAAUAGAAAAUAUGGAAUUAAUUCAAAAAAUUUUACGAUCCAUCAUUGUGAUUUACAUAAAGUUUAAUGAAGCGUAUAUUGAACGGUAUUAGGCAUUUAAAGUUGUACGGUUAAAAGAUUCAGUAUAAAAGGAGUAAUUUUUGCCGACCUGAAUAAUAAGUUUUAAAUAAGUCGUUCAGAAAAUGGAAGAUCAGAAUUUCAAUUUCUUACUUCAGCAAUUUUCGAUUGAUUCACUUUUUUUCAUUUCCAAUAUUCUGGAGAGAAGAAUAAUGUCAAAUUUAAUUUUAACGAGUCAGUGAAAUUUUGAUGAGAUUUCUAUUAAGAUUGAAAUUAGAUCUUUUGUAAGAUAUGAUUUAGUCAUAAUUUUAUUAUUAGUAUUGAUUUUAUAAGUAAUAAAAUAUAUAUAAAAAUAUAUAUUAAAUUGAAAUCUGUGUUAAAAAUUAAAAUGAAUGGAUUAAUUCUUCAUUGUUCAGCUUUUUAGGUCUUAAUUAAAUUCUACUGGAAAAUUAAUUCAUUUUCCAUUUCUUUUUCAAUUACUUUCAAAUCUAUCCUACAUCUUCAUCCAAAUAUAAAUUUCUUUACUUUAAUACUAUUCAUUUGUUACUGAUUAUUUAUUCAAUUCUUAUAUUAUGUUAUUUAUUUGAAUUUUCAAUAGAAAUUUUAUUUAUAAGUAUAUAUAGGAAUAAAUAAUAAUUCUUUUAAUUUCAUAUCAACAUAUAUUUCAUAUUUUCCAGUCACUUGUUUUCACUUAAUUUGUCACACUUUCUUAAAAUCAUUAUCGUUUGCACGAAAAGUUUAUUCACAUGCUAAAAGAGAACUUACUUCUGUAAGUUCACUCACCUUCCCAUUAUCUAAUCUUUGACAUUUACCUCUUUUCAUGAAUAUCUUCAAUUUCUUUACUUCAUUUUUUAAACUAUCUUCAAAACUGACAUAUCUUCCUAUAAUUCUAAAAAAAAAACUACCUUCUCAUCCUUGUAAUUAUUCGCUUAAAAUUAACAACAGUUAUAUCGCAUACAAUUAUAAAAUUGUGCUAGUCAGAAAAGAACAAGGUAUAUACAUUGGUAAAGACGUUCCUCUGCACGCUUAAAUGUGAUCAGUUUCACUGUAAGGCAAUUAAACACAACGGUUAAAUAGAAAUUAAGUUUCUGUAACAUCACUUCCUGGCAUAUUCUUCUGCUCUACUAAUUUGUCGGCAAGAUGGUGGCGAACAAUACAAUUUCACUUUGCACACCAGAGUUGCAGGAGGACAUUUUAUUUUAUCAGAUCAUUGUACAAAAUUAUUCGAGAAGGAAUAAGAUGGAAAUGAAAAAAUGCGUUUGAAGCUUUUCUUUAAUUAACAAAAAUAUCACGAGCAAUCAUUUUCAUUGAUGAACAAUAUGAUUAAACAAUUUUUCGUGAUUUUUUGAAAGAAAAAAAAAUCAAGGAUAAAAAAAAUUAAUCAACCAUUUUAUAUACUAUUUUUUUUUGUCAUUGUAAUGGAAUUAGAAAUUUAUAUUUUAUUGAAUUAUUCAUAAAGUUAGAAUAAUACAUAUUUGAAGUGUUUUUUCCUUAUAAAAAGUCUAUACUUUGUAUUUUCAAUUUAUUCUUCUUCCAUAUUCUUACUCUCUUGUCAUCAUUCUCACUCAUAAAAAUCUGCAUCAUUCGUUACGUCCAAAUACAACAAAAAUCUUUCCCAAUUUUUCUCUCUUCGUACUCUUACAAAUUCAAUGAAAAAGAUAUUGUUGAAUUACAUUUAUCAUCAGUUACUCUUCCGUAAAAUGGCAAUAGCUCGUGAGAAUUGCGACACGCGUUCGAAUUCAAUACCGAGCAAACCGGUCGCAAUGUUACUCACUUACGUACGAAUAUUCCACGAGUUUUUCAUACGGUGCACAGGCGCAUGCGCGCGCGCAUUAACUCGUAAACGGAGAACGUACGCGCGUGAAACACACGGUGCGUUGCUGGAACGCGCGAAAUUAUGCCGAGCACGCUUGGCAUAGCGAAAAGUUUCGAUGAACUAUCCACGAUUGGAUACUGUGAGCUGAAAACAUAGAUACAGUUUGUCGCAAAAGUAUCACUGUGUAUUUUACGAAAGAUUGUGUAUAAAUAAAAAAAGGAACUAGAUUCCUACUAGAUAAUCGUGAAAAGAAGGAAAUGGAGGGUAUAAUUUUUUAGAGACCUAACCUAACUAUAUUAUUUGAAGACGAAAUAGAAAUAUUUUAUUAUAAUAUCGUAUUGAUAAAUAAUAUAUUUAUUUGUUGUAUUAAAGAAUCGAGUUUAAAAGUUUGCCAAUUAUUAUUAGAAUAAAUAAUUGACAAAAGGUACUUGCGAAAAGAAGUAGAAAAUAUAGAAUGAAAUUUGUCGAUUUGAAAGAAUAGUUUUCGAGGAAUCUGAACGUUCUUGAAAAAUGCGCUAGCUAAUAAUGAGUCUUCGCUUUAUAUGUUCAAUUUCAAUUUUCUAAAUAAAAAAAUUGUAUUCUACAUUUUUUUCUUAUUUUUAAAUAAUUUUCUGUUAAUAAUUCGAAAUAAAUUAUGUUAAUAACUAUAUAAAAUAAGAAAAAAUACAAAAACAAUUGAAAAACAAGUUUUUGAUCUAGAAUUUAUUUUUAAAGAAAUUAAAGUACUUAAAAAAGUACUUACAUUAAAAAGCACUAAGAGUCUUUAUAAUUUAAAAAUUUUGUAAAAUUACACGAAUUAGUUUUAAUCUAAGACACUUUAGAAUGACUCUACAUUACCAAACGAUAAGAUAGGUCUCAACGAGCGUUUUACUCUGCCAUUUUUCCAUAUUAAUUCCGUACACGUUUCACGGCUUAGUGCAUUGUACACAAAUAUUUUUAUUUUAAAUCAUUCUCGAGAGAUAUCUUUUUUUUUUACACGUCAACUCUACACAUUAGUCGAGAUUUUCAUUCGUUGCAGGAAAUUCAGACGCACGUGUUUCCGUUGCUCAAUUUUCUAUACAUUUCCUGCGAAAGAAGUUAAUGUUUUGUCGUUGAUUAAAUACUUUAUUUAAAAACUUUGUUUUAGAAUUUAAUUUUUAAUAUACUAGAUUAAUCUAAAAUCUAUAAUUUUGGUAUUAAAAAAUAAUUUAUCGAUAAUACAAUAUUUUAUAUUAAACAUAUUAUAAAACUAAAGAAAAAAAAAAUCUUCCUAAAAUUUUCGUAUUAUACGAUACUCCACAUAUGAGCAAUAUGAAUAUUAAAAUAAAUCUAUUUCUAAAUCUAUUUUUUUUAUUAUCAAAUUAAUCCAAUAUUUGGACAAUAUUUUUCAUUAAAUAUAUACAAAUUAAAAAACCGAGGAAAAUUUAUAUACAACACCUUCGUAUUAUACGAUACUAUAAAUAUUCAAAAAUCCCCGAGUCAAAAAUAAAUCGUAAAAUAACUCGAUCACUGGAAACAUGAAAAAAAAAAAAUUAAUAUGCAAAAUAUGAUAUUUUCCAACAGCAAAAAUUCAAGCAUUAUAAAUGAUACUGCCCUUUUAAUUACAUAAUGAUGAAAAUGAAAAGUGGCAACGAUCAAUAAGCGGAUUAGGUCAUAAUUUAUCGCCAUACGGAAUACAGAACUAGACAUGGUGUUUUUUAACGAUGUUAGUUGGAAAGUCGAUAGACACAGCUGGUAUACCGGUACCGACAUUUUGAAAUGCGUGUCACCUUUUUGCGUGAUCGAGAAAACGGUACUCGAUUUGACGAGCUCCAACAUUCUAAUUUUUCCACCGCUUUUUUUCUUCCAUUUUCUUCUAAUGUGCACACGACGAUCGGACGUUUUCCAUUCCACGCUACGUUCAAAUUACACUGCACUACUUUGCGUCGAUUCAUUUUUUUUAAUAGUAGAACGAACAAAAUUGAUUGAAAAAAAUUUUCGCUCGAACCGAGAUGAUAAAUUUUAUAAAUUGUUGUAAUUUUAAUAUCCAAAUUUUAAGAAGAGACAACACGAUUUUUGUAAAUUACAAUUAUUCUUACGUUUGAAAAGAAAGUAUUGAAAAAUUGAAAUUUCAACUGGACUUUUUAGGAUAAUUGAUAUAUUCGCAAAAUUUAAUAAUUUAACAGUUAAAUCAUGUUUCUUUUUUUUUUUUAAAUUAAACGUAAAAUUAUUACGAUGUUAGAUUAGAUUUUCUGAUUAAUCAUUGUUUCUAUGCAUUUUUUCAAUGCUAUUCGAUUAAUGCACGAACGUACAAUUUUCCACAUGCUUCGUUAUUAAAUUUACGUAAGAGAUCUAAUUACAUUUACAUUAAUAUGCAAAUGAAUUAAUAUCAAAUAUAUAUUAAAUAUAAAAAUGUGAUAUUUAUAUAUAUAUAUAUUAAUUUACAAUUCCAAAUGGAAUUCAGGUAACAUUCGAUAUCAACAAUCCCUGAAUAUUGGGUAUUCGAUAUACAGGUCUUGAUAUUCAAUGUUAACAACUUUCAACUAGGUGGUAUUCGAUAGUAACAAUAUUUCAACCACGAUAAACAUUCAGACUACUCAAAUCAUUCUAUCGCAUAUAAACAAAUUACGAUUUUUAAUUCAGUUGCAACUGUUGUGAAAAUUAACUCAAUCUUCGAAUUCCAUAAAUACUCUUCCUCCGUGAGAUUUCGAUGUUUCUAUUCGGUGAAAAGUACUGUUACUUGCAAAAAAAAAGUAAAAAAAAAAAAAGAAAAAAAAAUUGUUCAACUUCACUGCCUCUCAUAAUUAUUCAUCAAAAGAGUACAACGAGUUGAAACGAUUCUUUCAAUUUCAAUAAUUAUUCCGAACAUUAAUUCUCUUCAAGCAUCUAUUAUUACAAUCUAAUUUUAUUUCAAUCUCGUAAAAAUUUUAAAACUAAUUAAUCCUAAUUAAAAUCAAAAUUUGUGACAUUUCGUUGAUUGAAUGAAAAUUAUAAAUUAUAAUCACUAUUGUGGUUUGAUAUUUAAUGUGUUAUUGGUUACGUUAAAUAUAUAAAAAUUAAUUAGAUUAGAUGAGAUAGUUUAUGCAAGGAUUAAUUCGAUUAAUAAAUUUUAAUCAAAAUGUAAUAAAUUUUUCAGCAUAAUGUUACGUUUCUUUUCGUGAAAUAGUGGGUAUAUUUUCACUUGGGAAAAAUACAUUCUUUCAUGCGAUUAUUAUCUUCUGCCCAAUUCAAGAGUUACGCUUCGAUAGAGUAGUCCGAUAAAUAUGACACAAUAACGUUCGUUCAUAUACGAAGAAUAUUUUAUUCUCUUUUUUUUUAAUCGAUUUAAUAUUUUCGCACAACUUUGCUUAUUAAUUCACACGGAAACGGAUGGAUUUUAAUCGACACGACAGACUGUUACGAAUUAUUUGGAAAAAAUUAUGACAGAUGGCGUUGAACGGAAGUCACGUGUUUUCGGCGGAUUAUUUAAAAUUUCAUUCGGUUUAA
Apis cerana (Asiatic honeybee) is the source of this 7321-nucleotide long non-coding RNA. RefSeq lists it as uncharacterized. NCBI's taxonomy places the organism in Eukaryota, Metazoa, Arthropoda, Insecta, Hymenoptera, Apidae. The record is from RefSeq and is a predicted model, not a curated record.